Molecule: ribosomal RNA, 242 nt
Filed under: uncultured bacterium
Lineage: Bacteria
Description: partial 16S ribosomal RNA
Rfam family: Bacterial small subunit ribosomal RNA
Source: RNAcentral
GCCAGCAGCCGCGGUAAUACAGAGGGUGCGAGCGUUAAUCGGAGUUACUGGGCGUAAAGGGCGCGUAGGCGGUUUAAUGUGUGUGAUGUGAAAGCCCCGGGCUUAACCUGGGAAGUGCAUCGCAAACUAUUGAACUGGAGUAGAUGAGAGGGUGGUGGAAUUUCCGGUGUAGCGGUGAAAUGCGUAGAGAUCGGAAGGAACGUCAAUGGCGAAGCAGCCACCUGGCAUCAUACUGACCCUGA